UUGUCCUGUGACUGCGUACCUUUUGUAUAAUGGGUCAGCGACUUAUAUUCAGUGGCAAGGUUAACCAUCUAGGGGAGCCGUAGGGAAACCGAGUCUUAACUGGGCGUUCAGUCUCUGGAUAUAGACCCGAAACCAGGUGAUCUAGCCAUGGGCAGGUUGAAGGUUGAGUAACAUCAACUGGAGGACCGAACCGACUAAUGUUGAAAAAUUAGCGGAUGACUUGUGGCUAGGGGUGAAAGGCCAAUCAAACCUGGAGAUAGCUGGUUCUCCCCGAAAGCUAUUUAGGUAGCGCCUCGGACGAAUACUACUGGGGGUAGAGCACUGUUAAGGCUAGGGGGUCAUCCCGACUUACCAACCCUUUGCAAACUCCGAAUACCAGUAAGUACUAUCCGGGAGACACACGGCGGGUGCUAACGUCCGUCGUGGAGAGGGAAACAACCCAGACCGCCAGCUAAGGUCCCAAAUUACUACUAAGUGGGAAACGAUGUGGGAAGGCUCAGACAGCCAGGAUGUUGGCUUAGAAGCAGCCAUCAUUUAAAGAAAGCGUAAUAGCUCACUGGUCGAGUCGGCCUGCGCGGAAGAUGUAACGGGGCUAAGUAGUAAACCGAAGCUGCGGCAAUAUACUUUUGUAUAUUGGGUAGGGGAGCGUUCUGUAAGCGGUUGAAGGUGUGUGGUAACGCAUGCUGGACGUAUCAGAAGUGCGAAUGCUGACAUGAGUAACGAUAAAGGGGGUGAAAAACCUCCUCGCCGGAAGACCAAGGGUUCCUGUCCAACGUUAAUCGGGGCAGGGUAAGUCGACCCCUAAGGCGAGGCCGAAAGGCGUAGUCGAUGGGAAACGGGUUAAUAUUCCCGUACUUCUUACAAUUGCGAUGGGGGGACGGAGAAGGCUAGGUGGGCCUGGCGACGGUUGUCCAGGUUCAAGUGCGUAGGCUUAAGAGUUAGGUAAAUCCGGCUCUUUUUAAGGCUGAGACACGACGUCGAGCACCUACGGGUGUGAAGUCAUUGAUGCCAUGCUUCCAGGAAAAGCCUCUAAGCUUCAGAUUGUAAGGAAUCGUACCCCAAACCGACACAGGUGGUCGGGUAGAGAAUACCAAGGCGCUUGAGAGAACUCGGGUGAAGGAACUAGGCAAAAUGGUACCGUAACUUCGGGAGAAGGUACGCUCUUGAUGGUGAAGUCCCUCGCGGAUGGAGCUGACGAGAGUCGCAGAUACCAGGUGGCUGCAACUGUUUAUUAAAAACACAGCACUGUGCAAAAUCGUAAGAUGACGUAUACGGUGUGACGCCUGCCCGGUGCCGGAAGGUUAAUUGAUGGGGUUAGACUUCGGUCGAAGCUCUUGAUCGAAGCCCCGGUAAACGGCGGCCGUAACUAUAACGGUCCUAAGGUAGCGAAAUUCCUUGUCGGGUAAGUUCCGACCUGCACGAAUGGCGUAAUGAUGGCCACGCUGUCUCCACCCGAGACUCAGUGAAAUUGAAAUCGCUGUGAAGAUGCAGUGUACCCGCGGCUAGACGGAAAGACCCCGUGAACCUUUACUACAGCUUGGCACUGAACAUUGACCCUACAUGUGUAGGAUAGGUGGGAGGCUUUGAAGCACGUACGCCAGUAUGUGUGGAGCCGUCCUUGAAAUACCACCCUUGUAGUGUUGAUGUUCUAACGUCGACCCCUAAUCGGGGUUGCGGACAGUGCCUGGUGGGUAGUUUGACUGGGGCGGUCUCCUCCCAAAGAGUAACGGAGGAGCACGAAGGUGGGCUAAUCACGGUUGGACAUCGUGAGGUUAGUGCAAUGGCAUAAGCCCGCUUGACUGCGAGAAUGACAAUUCGAGCAGGUGCGAAAGCAGGUCAUAGUGAUCCGGUGGUUCUGAAUGGAAGGGCCAUCGCUCAACGGAUAAAAGGUACUCCGGGGAUAACAGGCUGAUACCGCCCAAGAGUUCAUAUCGACGGCGGUGUUUGGCACCUCGAUGUCGGCUCAUCACAUCCUGGGGCUGAAGUCGGUCCCAAGGGUAUGGCUGUUCGCCAUUUAAAGUGGUACGCGAGCUGGGUUUAGAACGUCGUGAGACAGUUCGGUCCCUAUCUGCCGUGGGCGUUGGAAGAUUGAAGGGGGCUGCUCCUAGUACGAGAGGACCGGAGUGGACGAACCUCUGGUGUUCGGGUUGUGUCGCCAGACGCAUUGCCCGGUAGCUAAGUUCGGAAUCGAUAACCGCUGAAAGCAUCUAAGCGGGAAGCGAGCCCUGAGAUGAGUCUUCCCUGAUACUUUAAGUAUCCUAAAGGGUUGUCGGAGACUACGACGUUGAUAGGUCAGGUGUGUAAGUGCUGUGAGGCAUUGAGCUAACUGAUACUAAUUGCCCGUGAGGCUUAACCAU
This 2357-nucleotide ribosomal RNA is filed under the name Vibrio parahaemolyticus. RNAcentral's name for it is "partial 23S ribosomal RNA". It matches the Rfam family "Bacterial large subunit ribosomal RNA", at positions 586 to 2925 of the family's 2925-position model. Lineage: Bacteria; Pseudomonadati; Pseudomonadota; Gammaproteobacteria; Vibrionales; Vibrionaceae. The record is from RNAcentral.